AUUGAACGCUGGCGGCAGGCCUAACACAUGCAAGUCGAGCGGAUGACGGGAGCUUGCUCCUUGAUUCAGCGGCGGACGGGUGAGUAAUGCCUAGGAAUCUGCCUGGUAGUGGGGGACAACGUUUCGAAAGGAACGCUAAUACCGCAUACGUCCUACGGGAGAAAGCAGGGGCCCUUCGGGCCUGGCGCUAUCAGAUGAGCCUAGGUCGGAUUAGCUAGUAGGUGAGGUAAUGGCUCACCUAGGCGACGAUCCGUAACUGGUCUGAGAGGAUGAUCAGUCACACUGGAACUGAGACACGGUCCAGACUCCUACGGGAGGCAGCAGUGGGGAAUAUUGGACAAUGGGCGAAAGCCUGAUCCAGCCAUGCCGCGUGUGUGAAGAAGGUCUUCGGAUUGUAAAGCACUUUAAGUUGGGAGGAAGGGUUGUACGUUAAUACCGUGCAAUUUUGACGUUACCGACAGAAUAAGCACCGGCUAACUCUGUGCCAGCCGCCGCCGUAA
RNAcentral lists this ribosomal RNA (500 nucleotides) under uncultured bacterium. RNAcentral's name for it is "partial 16S ribosomal RNA". It matches the Rfam family "Bacterial small subunit ribosomal RNA", at positions 30 to 523 of the family's 1533-position model. The record is from RNAcentral.